Molecule: non-coding RNA, 178 nt
Filed under: Clostridium sp.
Lineage: Bacteria; Bacillati; Bacillota; Clostridia; Eubacteriales; Clostridiaceae
Description: T-box sequence
Rfam family: T-box leader
About the family: Uncharged tRNA acts as the effector for transcription antitermination of genes in the T-box leader family. T-boxes are found upstream of many aminoacyl-tRNA synthetase genes and some amino acid biosynthetic genes usually in Gram-positive bacteria.
Source: RNAcentral
UGUAAAGCAAGGAAGAAGAAUAGUAAAAAUCGCCUUUCAGAGAGAAAAUCCUAGGCUGUAAGAUUUUCAAGAGAUUUUGAACCAGCUUCAGAGUUAUAGCAAAACUAUCGGUUUAACACCGUUAUCAUUAUAAGAGCACAAAUUUAGGUGGUACCGCGACUAUAAGUUCGCCCUAAUU